UACGGGGGGGGCAAGCGUUGUUCGGAAUUACUGGGCGUAAAGGGCUCGUAGGUGGCCAACUAAGUCAGACGUGAAAUCCCUCGGCUUAACCGGGGAACUGCAUCUGAUACUGGAUGGCUUGAGUUUGGGAGAGGGAUGCGGAAUUCCAGGUGUAGCGGUGAAAUGCGUAGAUAUCUGGAGGAAUACCGGUGGCGAAGGCGGCAUCCUGGACCGACAUUGACGCUGAUGAGCGAAAGCUAGGGGAGCAAACGGG
RNAcentral lists this ribosomal RNA (253 nucleotides) under uncultured bacterium. Its description in RNAcentral is "partial 16S ribosomal RNA". It matches the Rfam family "Bacterial small subunit ribosomal RNA", at positions 524 to 776 of the family's 1533-position model. The record is from RNAcentral.